GACGAACGCUGGCGGCGUGCUUAACACAUGCAAGUCGAACGGAAAGGCCCUGCUUUUGUGGGGUGCUCGAGUGGCGAACGGGUGAGUAACACGUGAGUAACCUGCCCUUGACUUUGGGAUAACUUCAGGAAACUGGGGCUAAUACCGGAUAGGAGCUCCUGCUGCAUGGUGGGGGUUGGAAAGUUUCGGCGGUUGGGGAUGGACUCGCGGCUUAUCAGCUUGUUGGUGGGGUAGUGGCUUACCAAGGCUUUGACGGGUAGCCGGCCUGAGAGGGUGACCGGCCACAUUGGGACUGAGAUACGGCCCAGACUCCUACGGGAGGCAACGGUGGGGAAUAUUGCACAAUGGGCGGAAGCCUGAUGCAGCAACGCCGCGUGCGGGAUGACGGCCUUCGGGUUGUAAACCGCUUUCGCCUGUGACGAAGCGUGAGUGACGGUAAUGGGUAAAGAAGCACCGGCUAACUACGU
Molecule: ribosomal RNA, 467 nt
Filed under: uncultured bacterium
Lineage: Bacteria
Description: partial 16S ribosomal RNA
Rfam family: Bacterial small subunit ribosomal RNA
Source: RNAcentral